AUUGAACGCUGGCGGCAGGCUUAACACAUGCAAGUCGCACGAGUGGCGGACGGGUGAGUAAUGCUUGGGAAUCUAGCUUAUGGAGGGGGAUAACUACGGGAAACUGUAGCUAAUACCGCGUACCAUAGGAUGAGCCCAAGUGGGAUUAGGUAGUUGGUGAGGUAAAGGCUAACCAAGCCUACUAUCACUAGCUGGUCUGAGAGGUUGACAAGCCACACUGGGACGGGUACACGGUCCAGACUCCGACGGGAGGCAGCAGUGGGGAAUAUUUCGCAAUGGGGGAAACCUGACGCAGCCAUGCCGCGUGAAUGAAGAAGGCCUUCGGGUUGUAAAGUUCUUUCGGUAGCGAGGCGUUAACUACAGAAGAAGCACCGGCUAACUCCGUGCCAGCAGCCGCGGUAAUAC
RNAcentral lists this ribosomal RNA (405 nucleotides) under uncultured bacterium. Its description in RNAcentral is "partial 16S ribosomal RNA". It matches the Rfam family "Bacterial small subunit ribosomal RNA", at positions 30 to 526 of the family's 1533-position model. The record is from RNAcentral.